UGGGGGAUAUUGCACAAUGGGCGAAAGCCUGAUGCAGCGACGCCGCGUGGGGGAUGAAGGCUUUCGGGUUGUAAACCUCUUUCGCUAUCGAACAAGGCCCGCUUAGGGUGGGUUGAGGGUAGGUGGAGAAGAAGCGCCGGCUAACUACGUGCCAGCAGCCGCGGUAAUACGUAGGGCGCGAGCCUUGUCCGGCAUUAUUGGGCGUAAAGGGCUUGUAGGCGGCUUGUUGCGCCUGCUGUGAAAACGCGGGGCUUAACUUCGCGCGUGCAGUGGGUACGGGCAGGCUUGAGUGUGGUAGGGGUGACUGGAAUUCCAGGUGUAGCGGUGGAAUGCGCAGAUAUCUGGGGGGACACCGAUGGCGCAGGCAGGUCACUGGGCCAUUACUGACGCUGAGGAACGAAAGCAUGGGUAGCGAACAGG
Molecule: ribosomal RNA, 420 nt
Filed under: bacterium
Lineage: Bacteria
Description: partial 16S ribosomal RNA
Rfam family: Bacterial small subunit ribosomal RNA
Source: RNAcentral